GUAAGAGUUUCGAGUCCGUCGCUACGAGAGUAGAACGCUGGCGGCAGGCCUAACACAUGCAAGUCGAACGGCAGCGGGUAGGAAGCUUGCUUCCUAUGCCGGCGAGUGGCGGACGGGUGAGGAGCACAUCGGAAUCUACUCCGUCGUGGGGGAUAACGUAGGGAAACUUACGCUAAUACCGCAUACGACCUAAGGGUGAAAGUGGGGGGACCGCAAGGGCCUCACGCGAUGGAAUGAGCCGAUGUCCGAUUAGCUAGUUGGCGGGGUAAAGGCCCACCAAGGCGACGAUCGGUAGCUGGUCUGAGAGGAUGAUCAGCCACACUGGGACUGAGACACGGCCCAGACUCCUACGGGAGGCAGCAGUGGGGAAUAUUGGACAAUGGGCGAAAGCCUGAUCCAGCCAUGCCGCGUGGGUGAAGAAGGCCUUCGGGUUGUAAAGCCCUUUUGUUGGGGAAGAGAUCCUGCUGGCUAAUACCCGGCGGGGAUGACGGUACCCAAAGAAUAAGCACCGGCUAACUUCGUG
This 523-nucleotide ribosomal RNA is filed under the name uncultured Pseudoxanthomonas sp. Its description in RNAcentral is "bacterial SSU rRNA". It matches the Rfam family "Bacterial small subunit ribosomal RNA", at positions 1 to 507 of the family's 1533-position model. Lineage: Bacteria; Pseudomonadati; Pseudomonadota; Gammaproteobacteria; Lysobacterales; Lysobacteraceae. The record is from RNAcentral.